RNAcentral lists this ribosomal RNA (651 nucleotides) under uncultured Sphingobacteriales bacterium. RNAcentral describes it as "bacterial SSU rRNA". It matches the Rfam family "Bacterial small subunit ribosomal RNA", at positions 92 to 743 of the family's 1533-position model. The record is from RNAcentral. Lineage: Bacteria; Pseudomonadati; Bacteroidota; Sphingobacteriia; Sphingobacteriales.
CGACCGGCAAAGGGUGCGGAAACGUACGCAAUCUACCUCUUUCAGGGGCAUAGCCCGAAGAAAUUCGGAUUAACUCCCCAUAAGAUAAUGGAGUGGCAUCACUCAGUUAUUAAAACUCAGGUGGAAAGAGAUGAGCGUGCGUCCCAUUAGCUAGUUGGUAGGGUAACGGCCUACCAAGGCAACGAUGGGUAGCUGGUGUGAGAGCACGACCAGCCACACGGGCACUGAGACACGGGCCCGACUCCUACGGGAGGCAGCAGUGAGGAAUAUUGGUCAAUGGACGCAAGUCUGAACCAGCCAUGCCGCGUGAAGGAUGAAGGCGUUCUGCGUUGUAAACUUCUUUUAUCUGGGAAGAAACCUACUUUUUCUAAAGUAGCCGACGGUACCAGAGGAAUAAGCACCGGCUAACUCCGUGCCAGCAGCCGCGGUAAUACGGAGGGUGCAAGCGUUAUCCGGAUUCACUGGGUUUAAAGGGUGUGUAGGCGGACAUUUAAGUCCGAGGUGAAAUCUCCGAGCUCAACUCGGAAACUGCCUUGGAUACUAUUUGUCUUGAAUAUCGUUGAGGCAGGCGGAAUAUGUCAUGUAGCGGUGAAAUGCUUAGAUAUGACAUAGAACACCGAUUGCGAAGGCAGCUUGCUAAACGAUCAUUGA